CGUUCUCGGGGCGGGGUGGAACUCCCCACCGGCGGUAAAGAAUUAUUUCUAAGCCCGCGAGCGCCUUCAAUUUAGGGUAUGGUUCAAUAUGCUUAUUAUCUUGAAGGGUCAGCAGAUCUGGUGUGAUUCCAGAGCCGACGGUUAUAGUCCGGAUGUUAGAGAAC
Molecule: non-coding RNA, 164 nt
Filed under: uncultured Oleispira sp.
Lineage: Bacteria; Pseudomonadati; Pseudomonadota; Gammaproteobacteria; Oceanospirillales; Oceanospirillaceae
Description: FMN riboswitch (RFN element)
Rfam family: FMN riboswitch aptamer (RFN element)
About the family: The RFN element is a highly conserved domain that is found frequently in the 5'-untranslated regions of prokaryotic mRNAs that encode for flavin mononucleotide (FMN) biosynthesis and transport proteins. This element is a metabolite-dependent riboswitch that directly binds FMN in the absence of proteins. In Bacillus subtilis, the riboswitch most likely controls gene expression by causing premature transcription termination within the 5' untranslated region of the ribDEAHT operon and precluding access to the ribosome-binding site of ypaA mRNA.
Source: RNAcentral